Molecule: ribosomal RNA, 599 nt
Filed under: uncultured Sordariomycetidae
Lineage: Eukaryota; Fungi; Ascomycota; Sordariomycetes
Description: eukaryotic LSU rRNA
Rfam family: 5.8S ribosomal RNA (bases 212-365)
Source: RNAcentral
UCUUGGUCAUUUAGAGGAAGUAAAAGUCGUAACAAGGUCUCCGUUGGUGAACCAGCGGAGGGAUCAUUACCGAGUACUAUAACUCAUAACCCUUUGUGAACCUUUAUACCUGUUGCUUCGGCGGCGCGCCCCCCGGGGCGUGCCCGCCGGUAUCAUCAGAAUCUCUGUUUGAACCCGACGAUACAUCUGAGUGUUCUAAGCGAACUGUUAAAACUUUCAACAACGGAUCUCUUGGCUCCAGCAUCGAUGAAGAACGCAGCGAAACGCGAUAAGUAAUGUGAAUUGCAGAAUUCAGUGAAUCAUCGAAUCUUUGAACGCACAUGGCGCCUUCCAGUAUCCUGGGAGGCAUGCCUGUCCGAGCGUCGUUUCAACCCUCGAGCCCCCGUGGCCCGGCGUUGGGGAUCUGCCCAGGCAGGCCCCGAAAACCAGUGGCGGACCCGUUACAGGCCCUUCCUUUGCGUAGUAAUACUGCCUCGCAUCGGGAGCCGGCGGGCUUCCAGCCUCUAAACCCCCAGCAAGUCCGCCCCGGCGGCACCAAGGUUGACCUCGGAUCAGGUAGGAAUACCCGCUGAACUUAAGCAUAUCAAUAAGCGGAGGAA